Molecule: non-coding RNA, 58 nt
Organism: Salmo salar (Atlantic salmon)
Lineage: Eukaryota; Metazoa; Chordata; Actinopteri; Salmoniformes; Salmonidae
Source: Rfam
UAGCUCAGUUGGUAGAGCAUGGUGUUUGCAACGCCAGGGUUGUGGGUUCGAUUCACAC